UACGAAGAGGUUCUUAGCCAUACCCUCUUAAAAAAACUAAGACACA
RNAcentral lists this non-coding RNA (46 nucleotides) under Jeotgalicoccus saudimassiliensis. RNAcentral's name for it is "PreQ1 (pre queuosine) riboswitch aptamer". It matches the Rfam family "PreQ1 (pre queuosine) riboswitch aptamer". Rfam says of the family: This family is a bacterial riboswitch that binds to the metabolite preQ1, an intermediate in the biosynthesis of the modified nucleoside queuosine from GTP. One example of this riboswitch is located in the leader of the Bacillus subtilis ykvJKLM (queCDEF) operon which encodes four genes necessary for queuosine production. PreQ1 binding to the riboswitch aptamer is thought to induce premature transcription termination within the leader to down-regulate expression of these genes. The record is from Rfam by way of RNAcentral. Lineage: Bacteria; Bacillati; Bacillota; Bacilli; Caryophanales; Staphylococcaceae.